AGGACGAACGCUGGCGGCGUGCCUAACACAUGCAAGUCGAACGAGGUCCAACCUGUAGCAAUACAGGUGAAGACCAAGUGGCGAACGGGUGAGUAGCACGUGAGCAACCUGCCCCGAAGACCGGGACAACACCGGGAAACCGGUGCUAAUACCGGAUAUCCCCACUGAGUCGCAUGGCUCGGUGAGGAAAUGGAUUCCGCUUCGGGAGGGGCUCGCGGCCUAUCAGCUUGUUGGUGAGGUAACGGCUCACCAAGGCUUCGACGGGUAGCUGGUCUGAGAGGACGAUCAGCCACACUGGGACUGAGACACGGCCCAGACUCCUACGGGAGGCAGCAGUGGGGAAUCUUGCACAAUGGGCGCAAGCCUGAUGCAGCAACGCCGCGUGAGGGACGAAGGGCUUUCUGAGUUGUAAACCUCUUUCAGCAGGGACGAUUGUGACGGUACCUGCAGAAGAAGCCCCGGCAACUACGCGCCAGCAGCCGCGGUAAU
Molecule: ribosomal RNA, 489 nt
Filed under: uncultured bacterium
Lineage: Bacteria
Description: SSU rRNA
Rfam family: Bacterial small subunit ribosomal RNA
Source: RNAcentral